CUCAGGAAAGCUUUCCUCCAGCCCCGUCUGUGGUUACACAAAACGGUCAAAACAGAGGCCAGGUCUGUUCUCAAAUACCACGCUCUGGAGGAGGGAUAAGAAUGUCCUAUGGUUCCUGGGCCAGUUCAGGUGGCUUAGAGAAGGGCAAAACAGCACCUUUAUAGACACUACAAAAAUCACUUGAAGAAGGAACAAACAUCUCUGAGUGGAGGGAACUACACCAGUGUGAUCAUCACAGAAACUGGAGGACUGAGGACAAAAUCUCAGAAUACCAGGGAGCAGGGCAGACCACACCAGGGUUUGAACAGCCUUAUGGAAACGUCUGGCUCCAGCCUCGCUUUGGUUUUCUUCAGAGUUUCUUCAGUGGGUGCAGGAAAUUCUACUUACUGGGUUUGUCAGUAAUCUAGAAGUAUCUUGGUAUUUUUCAGAUUACCAAGUAUCUGUUGUAAUGUGACUUUGUGACACAACAGAUAAAGAGAUCAAGAUAGAUCACUGCUGGAGACUGUGUUUCCUAAGAAUGGAUGAUAAGCAUUAGCAGAUAAAAAAAAUGUAAUCAAUCAAGUAAUGGAACAAGGCAGGAAUGAGAGGAAUGUUUUUCAAUUUAAAAUCUAGUGUAAGUUUUGCCCUUAACAAAAUCAGAGAAAAUGUAAAGAAUCAGAGGGAAUUUUUUUUAAAUCCACAAUGAAGGAAGAAAAGUGCUCCUUAAAUAGAUGAGUAAAUGGUUUCAGGCAUAAAUGUAUUUAUGUAUGGAUGUGUAGAGAUUUUCCUUUCCCGUUAGGAUUAAGUAAUUUUUUUAGAGUAAAUUUAUUCAGGAGUUCAUUGGUUUGUCACUAAUAACAACCUAUUUUUUGUAGCUCUUUAAAAAAUGACCUUAAAAAUGCACAAGAAUGGUAUUUGCUUUAGAAAAACAUGAAUAAUAUAUAUUUUUUAAACUUUUCUGAAUACUAGUGGUCGAACAGAACUGAUAGAGUCACAGUCACUAAAGAGGAAUUCUCCAAAAGGCCUCAGAAAAAACAGUAAUGAAAGAAGGAGACAACCAAAUACCCGAGUCUUAAAAAGUUCCAGCUCUCUGUCCACCCACCCCACCCUUACCACGCCCACCCCACCUUCCCAGGGAUAUGAAAAUCUCCCAGCAGGUGAUGGACUGUGCCAGAGUCAGUGUUGAUGCUUAAAGGUUGAAGCGGAUUUGUAAACAACAAAAAUUCAAUAGAUAUCAUCCCUGCUCUUAAAAUACCUCUGCCACACUGCCACUGAGGGUUUCUCAUUGGCCACUUGUGACAGAAAGCUCCUAAAUGGUCUCCAGUGAUCCCUACCUCCUGGUACGCAUGCUCUUGGAUAAUGCCCUACCCUUCAAUACGGGCUGGAUUUAGUGACUUGUUUCUAGCAAACAGAAUGUGGCAAAGGUGAUGAGAGGUCAUGUGCUAGAUUAGGUUACAGGAUAGCUGUUGCUUCUGUCUUGGGUGCGCUCUCUCACUUGCUCUCUCUGAAGAAAGGCAGCUGCCAUGUUGUGGGCUGUACUAGGGAGACAGCACAAUAGCCCUCAAGGAAUCAACAACCUUGUGUGUGAGUUUGGAAUCAGAUCCUCUCCCGCUGAGCCGUCACAGAAGACCUCGGCCUCAGCUGACACCUGGACAGCUGACACCUGGACCGCAAUCUCAUGAGAGACCUUGAGCCAGUGGCACCAACCUGAGCAGCACCCAGGGGCCUGACCCACAGAAAGUGUGAGGAAACAAAUAUCCGUUGUUUCUUUUGUUUUUUGUUUUCAGUCCACCUCCUCAUUUCCUGCACUGUGCCCCCAUCUCUCUCAUUGUCAAUUCCCACCUUCACUUUUCUUUUACUUAUUUUUUUUUUUUAAUGUUUACUUAUUUUUGAGAGGGGAGAGGAAGGGCAGAGAGAGAGAGGGAGAGAGAGGGAGGAUCUGAAGCAGGCUCCACGCUGACAGCAGAGAACCCAAUGUGGGAGUUGACCUCACAAACCAGGAGAUCAUGACCCUAGAUGAAGUCUGCUGCUUAACCGACUGAGCCGCCAAGGCGCCCCUCCUUUUACUUCUUCUGUGGACAAUUUAAAACGAUCUGUUUCACAGACUCUUUUAUUCUAUAGCCUCAGGGCUUCUCCUUUCCACCUUAAGAGGCCUAAAAAUAAUAAAGUAUGCUUUUAAUCCGAGAGAAACUCUAGUGCUAGCUGCUGUAACAACAGUUCUCAGCUUAUAUCGAGAAAUUGUUCGUCACUCAAAAUAAGUAAUGUACCUAUGAUUUCAUCAACUUGAAAUAUUCUAGCUUUGAAGAAAACAUAGUCUAGCUUUGGCACAUUUUAUAAAGUAGAGAAUAAAACCUUUGAUGAUGAAACACUCUAUUCCCUAUUAUUUACACUUUAGAUAGUAAUAAAACACAUUAUUUUCAAAUAUUUUCGUUAUUUUGGGGCUACCGUUUGAUGUGAAUUAUUGCUAGGUGUUGGAGAGAGUUGUCCACUCCUGAAAUCUCUGUUUUUUAGCCUUUUGGGCUCAGCUAUUCCCUCAAUACCCCAAAUAAACUGCUUUGUGCCACUCCUU
This is a long non-coding RNA of Leopardus geoffroyi (Geoffroy's cat), 2548 nucleotides long. RefSeq lists it as uncharacterized. Lineage: Eukaryota; Metazoa; Chordata; Mammalia; Carnivora; Felidae. The record is from RefSeq and is a predicted model, not a curated record. The transcript has 2 exons.